GGGGGGGGGGGGGGGGGGUUACUGUGCAAGUGUUACAAGCAGUGGAUCUUGUGCGUGUCUGAAUUGACUGAGGUGCAGAGCACGGUUGUGCCAAAAAUGUGGAUGCAGAGGGUUUCCAAAAGAUUAAUCGCUAUCAGCUAAAGAUUAAUCGCUAUCAGCUGCUUAGUCUAACUUCCCUGUCACGGCAAGCCCGACUGUCGUCAUGGCUUCCAAAACAGGGGUUGGGGCAAGCGGUAUUUGUGGCUUGCGUAUUCUCAUUUACCUUGCUUGUGUGCAUAUACUGAAUAACCAGUGAGGCCUAAAAUAGGAAUUUUUGUGGCUAGAUGGAUAAGCUGUGACCCCACCUGUCUUUUCUGUGCUUUGCUGCUUAAUGUCAUAACAGUGACUUGGGACCCCAGAAUAAAAACUGCUAGAGUGCUUAAGGGAGGAUCUGCAUUUGCCCAGGUUAGGGAACCAUCCUUAAAGCUUUGGUGGGGAGAAAAAGCUCCAAAAGGAGAGUCUGCCAGUGACUCUGGUGGUUUGAUUCAUUUGCAGGCUGCUGUUCUGAGGGCCAGCAACUCAAAGAGGAGCAGCUCAGCCCAUUUUGUUGCUUUCAGUGAUCCUGUUUUGAGGAAGCAUGUGCCAAAGCCCAGCUGGGCAGUCAAAGGAGCCUGGUCACAGCUGGGAGCUCUGCAGAGAUGCGCGGCCGGCCGUGGAGGAUGAGCUCUGACUUGCAGUGUGGACACAGCUAAGUCCUGGGCUGCAUCGUAUGUGAGCGGGGCUGGGAGGUGUGAGGCAGUUGUCCCCUGGGUGUGGUCACUGGCGUCGCUGGCUGUGGCUGUUUGCCCACGGAGCUGAGAGGACCAAACAUACUAAUUGCCUGACCCGGAGAUGAAUUAGUGCUUGCAGGCUUUCAGGUAGGUGCAGUGGAAGUGCAGCUUAGUGCAGUCCUGUGGAGUGAUUCUUGCACAUGCUCACAUUUGAAUGGUGGCUAAAAAACAAGCCUAUAAACAGCAACUGUAACACGAUCCUGGUGUGUGUCUUCCUGUUCUGCUAUGCUUCUAAAAGAAGGGGAAACUUCCUAAGCUGCGGGAAAAACUCCUUGGCUUCUCUUUACUGUUUUCAUGCUCAUGAGUGCUUUGGUGUUUCUUGCUUAAAGCCGAGGGUUUGGGAUUUUUCACUUAAGGUUUAUUGUUUAGUUUGUUGUUGAGGGUCUCUCACUCAGAAGUUAUGGGUUAUUACUUUAUUUUGUGGGGCUCAGCCUUUAUCAGUCAAGGGUUACGGUUUGCUCAUUUAGCGAUCAGGGCACAGAACUUAAAAUCCAACCCCAUCCGUAAAUUUUAAAGCUUUGGCAACCACUGGGGUUCUAAGACUUGCAGUUUGUCACUUAACAUUCAGGCUUAUGACUUGCUGAUAAAGGAAAAGGGCUAAAUCCUUAGAUAAUAAACUGUAAGCCCCGAAGGCUAAGCAGCAGGCUGUGAACCCUUCUUUGGGCUUGGUAACCUUCCCCCUGUACCCAGCAUUCAGCUCUGCACUGACCUGAGUGCUGGAUUGCAUAUGGCGCUGGCCUAUCACAGAGACUGGCAAUGUGAUGGGUGAGCUGAGAGCUGUGGAAGUGUCUUGCAGGGCAGAAGUGCAGACAGGUGGGAUCAGGCAUUUUCCUCUCAACUCUCAGAGCUGAAUCCUAUCCCUGAAGGAAAAAGCAGAGGAGUAGGCUGUCAGCUACUCAGACACCUGCCAUGUCAAGGGCAGCAGCAGGAGCUGACCCUUCCCUGACAAACAGAUGGAUGCUGGUGUGGUGAUGACUCUUCAGGUAUCACAGGUAAGGGAAAGCAUGCUGGCACCAAGCUCCAUGGCAGACUUGCUUUCAGGUGUUGUUUCUGCACAGUAAAACAAUAAACAGUUGCUUUAUUCUUUG
This is a long non-coding RNA of Dromaius novaehollandiae (emu), 1897 nucleotides long. RefSeq lists it as uncharacterized. The transcript is spliced from 2 exons. The record is from RefSeq and is a predicted model, not a curated record. NCBI's taxonomy places the organism in Eukaryota, Metazoa, Chordata, Aves, Casuariiformes, Dromaiidae.